GGAAUUUUGGACAAUGGGCGCAAGCCUGAUCCAGCAAUGCCGCGUGAGUGAAGAAGGCCUUCGGGUUGUAAAGCUCUUUUGUCAGGGAAGAAACGGCUGAGGAUAAUACCCUUGGCUAAUGACGGUACCUGAAGAAUAAGCACCGGCUAACUCCGUGCCAGCCGCCGCGGUAAUACGGAGGGUGCAAGCGUUAAUCGGAAUUACUGGGCGUAAAGCGUGCGCAGGCGGUUUUGUAAGUUUGUCGUGAAAGCCCCGGGCUCAACCUGGGAAUUGCGAUGAAGACUGCAAGGCUUGAAUCUGGCAGAGGGGGGUAGAAUUCCACGUGUAGCAGUGAAAUGCGUAGAGAUGUGGAGGAACACCGAUGGCGAAGGCAGCCCCCUGGGUCCAGAUUGACGCUCAUGCACGAAAGCGUGGGGAGCAAAC
Molecule: ribosomal RNA, 423 nt
Filed under: uncultured bacterium
Lineage: Bacteria
Description: bacterial SSU rRNA
Rfam family: Bacterial small subunit ribosomal RNA
Source: RNAcentral